Molecule: ribosomal RNA, 484 nt
Filed under: uncultured bacterium
Lineage: Bacteria
Description: partial 16S ribosomal RNA
Rfam family: Bacterial small subunit ribosomal RNA
Source: RNAcentral
AUUGAACGCUGGCGGCAGGCCUAACACAUGCAAGUCGAGCGGAUUAAGGGAGCUUGCUCCUGGAUUCAGCGGCGGGCGGGUGAGUAAUGCCUAGGAAUCUGCCUGGUAGUGGGGGAUAACGUCCGGAAACGGGCGCUAAUACCGCAUACGUCCUGAGGGAGAAAGUGGGGGAUCUUCGGACCUCACGCUAUCAGAUGAGCCUAGGUCGGAUUAGCUAGUUGGUGGGGUAAAGGCCUACCAAGGCGACGAUCCGUAACUGGUCUGAGAGGAUGAUCAGUCACACUGGAACUGAGACACGGUCCAGACUCCUACGGGAGGCAGCAGUGGGGAAUAUUGGACAAUGGGCGAAAGCCUGAUCCAGCCAUGCCGCGUGUGUGAAGAAGGUCUUCGGAUUGUAAAGCACUUUAAGUUGGGAGGAAGGGCAGUAAGUUAAUACCUUGCUGUUUUGACGUUACCAACAGAAUAAGCACCGGCUAACUUCGUG